This 1040-nucleotide long non-coding RNA is filed under the name Brassica napus (rape). Its description in RNAcentral is "long non-coding RNA (BNAP_LNC005437)". The record is from RNAcentral. Lineage: Eukaryota; Viridiplantae; Streptophyta; Magnoliopsida; Brassicales; Brassicaceae.
UUAAGGACAUCGGUCCUUCCUCAGCCUCAACCAAUUAUGGAGGUGUCCAGAAACUCGAAUACGUCACAGAUGCGGAGUUUAAUGCAUAUGUUCUGAGGCACAGGUCUGGAACACAACAUGUACGGCUGUACCCUCUUAAACAGGUCUAACAUGUAACUUAGACGAAUUAGCUUUGUACAAAAACCCAAAACAUACAAUGUAACUGUUAAAAGUGAAUGAUUUUGUUGGAACGUUUUAGCCCAUGUGAUCGUAAUAGACUACAGGCUUUUUAUUUUUGUUUUCUAUGUGUUUUUCCACCUAAGCUUCUACUAUGGUUAAUGAGUUUCUUACCUUUUUUUUGGAACAAGAGUUUUACUUAUGCAAUGGUUUAAGAUGGUCACUAUAAACUUUGUCUGGAAUAAAUACAAGACAACAACAAGUUUCCAAGGCUACUUCAGCCUUUAAUCUACGUUCAUAAAAAAACAUUGAAAGGGAAGAGCACAUCCAGUCCACAUUAACAUUUUAGGUAAAAUCAACAAAACCUAACGUUGUCUCUUCUAAGUUUCAAAACUCAAUAACGGAAGAGUAAGAGGAAGACAUUAGUACAUCCAGUCCACAUUAACAUUAUGUUAAAAUGCAAUCGUUUAUGAAGUUUAUAUAUCAUCGUGGAAACUUUGACAAUACAAAAAGUAUAGUAUAAGCAUCUUAAAAUAUGAAAUAUUUUUGUAUUUUAUUUGAAAAAUUAUUAUAUAUAUAAUCAAAAAUAUUUAAUGAACUUAUGAAUGAUACGAAAACAACAAGGAAGUUAAUUUAAAUAUAUUCUUAUGAAGGUACAAAGUGAAACAUGUUACAAGUAUGAAUUUGAUUUGGCAUCUCAUCUCUAUCUUUAUGACCGUCGUGAAACAUACUAAGCGGCAUGGAACACAACAUGUACGGCUGUACCCUCUUAAACAGGUCUAACAUGUAACUUAGACGAAUUAGCUUUGUACAAAAACCCAAAACAUACAAUGUAACUGUUAAAAGUGAAUGAUUUUGUUGGAACGUUUUAGCCCAUGUGAUCG